GCCCUAGGUUUGGUAGAAUUGCCUACUAAGUUUAAGUAUACCAAUAAGCAAAGAUAAAGAAACUUACCAAGAUUCCCUUGUAACAAUGAGCAAAUCAAGAAGAGCACAGCAUAAGAAUCGAGUGCCUAUGACAUUCAAAUUGUAGUAUGGAGAAGCAUCCUCAAUGGUAAACCCAACCUAAGUUUCCUGGAAAGGGGCACAGGGAGGGUGAGAGCCCCAUUGUGCCUGGACCCUAUCGCGCCAUGAAGCAUUGUGUGCGAGUUGGUUUGUUUGGGAAUGCAUCCCAAAUUGGGAGGUAAAUUCUAUCCAAGGUUGAAUAUAAGUAAAAGAUCGAUAGCAAACAAGUAUUGUGAGGGAAAGAUGAAAAGGACUUAGAAAAAAGAGUCAAACAGUGCAUGAAAUUAUCAAGAGGGAAGUAGAUAGGGGCCAGCAAUGCACCCCAGUUGGAUGUGGAAUGACAGAAGCUAAUCCAUUGAUUGACUUGAGGUGUAGACCACAUUGGUUACGGCAGUGGCCCGAGCUUGGGCUUUCGAUAUGCCCGUAGAGACAUUGUCACUGUAAUCAUGGAAUGUAGCAUGCAUUGUCUUAGCAUGCCUCAACACUUGCAUGCUCCUAGCAUCGGCCUACGGGCUCCUUAUCUGCCUCUUCUUAAAACAUGGACCAAGGAGUCUAACAUGUGUGUGAGUCAAUAGGCUAGAAAACUCGUAAGGCAUAAGAAAGCUAAUUGGCAAAGUCCCUCAUGGGUGCACCAUUGAUCAACCUUGAUAUUCUAAGAAGGGUUUGAGUGUGAGCAUACCUAUCGGGACUCGAAAGAUGGUGUACUAUGCUUGAACUAGAUGAAGCUAGAGGAAACUCUGGUGGAGGCCCACAAUGAUAUUGUCAUGCAAAUCAUUCAUGUGACCUAGGUAUAGGGCUGAAAGACUAAUCGAACUAACUAGCAGCUAGUUCCCUUUGAAGUUUCCCUUAAGAUAGCUAGAGUCUUUAGUGAGUUCUAUCAGCGAAGCCAAUUCGUAGCUAGAACCCUCGACCUAUUCUUAAACUUUAAAUAGCUAGGGUGGUGCAGUUGCUUCAUUGAGCAGUGCCAUAGAAUUGAAAGCACCAAAUGGGUCAUUUUUGGUAAGCAAAACUAGCAAUGUAGGAUGAAUCAGAAGCUGGGUUAUGGUACCCAAUUGUAUGCUAAACUAGAACCCACAAAGGUGUUGGUCGAUUAAGAUAGUGAAAUGGUGGUCAUGGAAGUCAAAAUCUGCUAAGAAGUGUUAACAACUCACUUGCCAAAUUGACUAGCCCUAAAAAUGGAUGGCGUUUAAGCGUGCAAUCUAUACUUGGCCGUCGAGGUAGGGGCCAAGUCCCGAUAAGUAGGAGGGGGCAAUGGUGUCACAAAACCCAAGAUGUAAGCCUAGGUGGAGUAACCAUUAGUAUGGAUCUUAGUGGUAUUAGCAAAUAUUGAAAUGAGAACUUUGAAAGCCAAAGAGGGGAAAAGUUCCCUGUGAGUGAGUCCAACAUGAGCUUUGAAAGGCAUUUGGGGUUAAAAGUCUUAAACUAAGAUGCAAUGAUUGAUAGCAACAUUAGGAGUCUAGAGACAUUGGUGCCUUUUUGUUUAAUGGCCUACCCACCUUAGAAAGGGCUCAAUUGGAGGAAAGAUCUAGUGGCUAGAAAAGCACCGCAUGUCACUUGCUGUUUGGGGCACACCCUUAGUAGCCCUUGAAAAUCUAGAGGACCAAGCGCUGUUUAUGCUCGGUCAUACUUAUAAUCAUAAUAGGUCCCUAAGGUGAACUACGUCUGGUUAAUGGAAUGCAGGCAAGGAAAGUUGACAAAAUGGAUCUGUAACCUCAAGAAAAGGAUUGGCUCUGAGGGCUGGGCAUGGAGUCCCAGUCCUGAACCCAUCAGCUACUAGUGCACUACUUAAGCUGCUCUCAUGGUGAGAGCAGGUUGACGCAUGCUAGCUGAAGGAUGGACUAGGAAUGGCUUCCUCAAGGCUCUUCCCUAGGCAAUGAAUAGUGAACUUAGAACUAGUACAAACAAGGGAAAUCUAACUAUUUAAUUAAAAGAAAGCAUUACGAUGAUCCUUGCAGAUGCUUAUGCAAUUUGAUUUUUGUCGCUUUGAAUGUCAAAGUGAAGAAAUUCAACCAAGCACGAGUAAAUGGCAGGAGUAACUAUGACUCUCUUAAGGUAGCCAAAUGCCUCAUUAUUUAAUUAGUAACAUGCAUGAAUGGAUUAAUGAGAUUCCCACUAUCCCUGUCUACUAUCUUCAAAACCAUAGCCAAAAGAAUGAGCAUGGUCGAAUCAGUGGGGAAAGAAGACCUUGUUAAGCUUAACUCUAGUCUGACUUUGUGAAAUGACUUAAGAGGUGUAGUAUAAGUGGAAGCCUUCAGAAGAAAUUGAAUUACCAUUAUUUUUAACAUUAUUUUAUUUAUUCUAUGAAUCAAAAAUGAGGUAUGACCCUUUUUUUGGACCUAAGUCCAGCUUCAGUCAGUCAAUAUAGGCAGAAGACAUCGUCAAGUGGGCAGUUUGGCUAGGGUGGCAUAUUUGUUAAAAGAUAACACAAGUGUCAUAAGAUGACCUCAAUGAGAGCAAAAAUCUCAUGUGUAACAAAAGGGUAAAAAACACCUUUUAUUCUGAUUUUCAGUACAAAUAUGAACCAUGAAAGCAUGGCCUAUUGAUCAUUUAAACCAUUGGAAUUUGAAGAUAAAGAUGUCUAAAGGCUAUCACAAGGAUAACUGGCUUGUGGCAGCCAUGUGUUCAUAGCAACUUGCUUUUUAAUCCUUCAAUGUCAGCUCUUCCUAUCAUUGUGAAGCAGAAUUCACCAAGUGUUUGAUUGUUUGCCCACCAAUAGGGAAUGUGAGAUGGGUUUAGACCCUCAGUCGAAUGAAUGGCCACCUACUUUGCCACACAUUGGUGCACCUUGCUGGAUGGGACCCAUCACACCAAUUGCAUGCCUGCGACACUGACUCUUCAAUGCACCUUUCUGGACAUGGUGCUUAGGUCAAUCGCACUCAAGUGGCACCACCCAUAAUAGACCUUAACAUGAUGGCAUUCAAACAACUUGAUCAUCUUACAAGUUGGGUCUUUUUGGCCCUUCUAAGGUCACCUCUCUAGGUGUGGUGCUCUAGGCAAUGGCCCUCAUGGUGACACCUUAAUGCUUGCUAUCUCAUACUCAAAUGCUCAAAUAUCUGAUGG
RNAcentral lists this ribosomal RNA (3177 nucleotides) under Durio zibethinus. RNAcentral's name for it is "eukaryotic LSU rRNA". It matches the Rfam family "Eukaryotic large subunit ribosomal RNA". Lineage: Eukaryota; Viridiplantae; Streptophyta; Magnoliopsida; Malvales; Malvaceae. The record is from RNAcentral.